UACUUGAAAGAGCAGAAUAAAGAAAUAAUCAAAUGUAUCAUAUAGAGGUAUAUCAUGCAAACACAUUUUCAUUAUGCUCAAGAAUUCAUAGCUUCUCACAAGUCAUUUUAAAUCAAAAUUUUAAGCAUGAACUUGUGUAGUUCAUGGUUAUGACAUAGGUAAAGAUAUAUUUUAGUUUGGGCAAACCAUGAAAUAAUUUCUAAAAGCACAAGUCAAUCAAUACAUAUAUAGACAUGAUAUCAAGUAAUUAAUAAUUAAAGACUUUAAUCAUGCCAUAGUAAGAUUUAAGUUAAUGACUUUGCUCAGCUAAUUUAUGAGAGAGGUAUCUAAAAUUACCGAAUCAUUCUGCAUUCUUCAAGUCAAAUACCUACUAGAUUUCUUAUGUGUAGCCUUUUAGCUGAAGAAAGUCCUCUCUCUUGUUUGCAUGUGAAUGUUGAUUGUACCUUUUAUGGAGGUGUCCUUCAAGUUGAAAUCUCUCAUUUUCUUGCUCAAGGAUCCUGCAAACUCCUUUUCUUUCUUGAAAGAAAGUCAUUAGUUUCUUCAAGAUACAAAACAUUCAUCUACCAUAUUUUUAACUAGAUGACUCAAUAUAAGAUAUGACACUAGUUGAAUGUUGAGUCACUUUACUCAAGAGAUUGCCUAAGUACAAGCAAGCACAUAUCACUUGAACUAUAGAGAUAGUUUCAUUAACCAAGAUGGUUCAAGGACAAGCAUGUGAGGCAAUAGGAAGAUUUAUCAAGGUCAAAUCAAUUUCUUAUUUUCAAGAUC
This 768-nucleotide long non-coding RNA is filed under the name Phoenix dactylifera (date palm). RNAcentral describes it as "long non-coding RNA (PDAC_LNC018459)". The record is from RNAcentral. Lineage: Eukaryota; Viridiplantae; Streptophyta; Magnoliopsida; Arecales; Arecaceae.